AAACCUUUGAAAGUCCAGAUACUUUCUAGCACAUGAAGAAGUGUUUAAGUGAUAGGAUACAUGAAAUCUGUCUACUCUUCCUUCAAAACCAAGAACGUGAACUAUAAAUGCAGUCCUAUGUAAGAGAAAUACAUUUGUGAAAGCAAGCUUUAUUAAUACUUAAGCAAUGUGUGUGUGCCACUUUGAGGUAGUCAUGUGAAUUUACCUGCCUUUCUAGCAAUAAUGAAGAGGAGCUAUAGCUGUACUGUUUUAAGUACUGAUUAAAAAAAACUCCAUACUGUUCACUUGGGCAACUGAAAGCCAGGCUUGAAAUGUAUUAUUAAAUAUUGACUUUUCAGAGCCUCCGUCAAUCUUUUAAGUCAUUAAGGAUUUUUAUCAUAUAAGCUUGGGUAACUUUGCACUCUUAAUGCAUCAACAAUAUUGCCUUUUACUAGUAGUUAAAAAAUUCUAAUAAUCCUAUUCAUUAAAAAAGUUAUCUUUUUAUUUAUUUUUAUAUCUUCAGAGGAUUGAGGGAACACUAGGAAUAAUGGAGCUAUUCGAAUGGAAGAUAACUUGCACUUUUGAUGAAGGUAUUUUCUUGCUUAUCUCAUAUGAAAUGAGUGUUUUUUUUAACAACAUAAACAGCCAACGUUUGUUCUUAUGGCUUCAGGUAAGAUAUCUUGUGGGGUUUUUUUGCUAAUAAGAGGUGGGACUGGCAUUCAUUUCUUGCUCCUAACUAAUGAAGUAUUUAUCUGUUUAGCAAACUGAGACCUCAUUAUAUUGGAGGAGAGAUCACAUGUGCUUGAUGCAGUGUUUUCCUUAGGACCCAUUACUGGAUAACAUUAGGGACAGGAUGCAGUGCUGGAAGAGCUUUUGGCCCUGGCCAGUACAGCCCUUUUUAUGUUCUUGUUACCUGACACAUCUGAGGUUUCCUGCCCACUUAACCCUGCAAGGCAAGCUUUCAUGGUUGGUCUCCUACUACACCCUGGGAUCCAUCUGGGAGGGUUGGGAUCAGACACCUUCUGUGGUCACUUCCUGCCCAUUUCUGCAAGAGCAGAUGCAGCUGUUUUCAGUCCUUCAUGUUAUUUGCUGAUGUUCUAUCAUCAAGUGAAAAACAUUCCCAGUAAGGUGCUUGGGUAGGGAAAGAAUAGGAAGUAGUUAAAUUGAGAAACUUCCUUGGCCAGUUGUGCUUUGCAGUGCUUCUCAGUAGAAGACGUUUGUUGUCUUUCUCCUGUCUAAACCAAGGUUGAAAUUAAAUUUGAAUGUCCUCUAGCCAUGCAACACUGGGAAUGAAUCCUAUGAAACAGCCUAUAUGAGGCCUGUACAAAUGGUAUACCUGCUUAGUCUGAAUGAGGUUUGACUUCAUUAUGUUAGUACAGAAUAAUUAGUAGAAAACCAAAAUGCGAUUUUCCUAAAGAAUGGCAGUUCUGGGGCUUUACCUCACUUAUAGCCUUGCAAGGCUUUUAGUGUCCUGACAAGCAAUCUAUCAGAGCAGGAAUGUUGAGUGCGUUCAUUUUUUACUUCAGUUCUUUUCUUACAGGAGCUCAAGUGACUCCACUGAAACUCUGGCAUUAAUCACAGACAAAAUUAGGUCAGAAGAGAGCACAGAGGUACUGAAAUGGAAAGAGAUAAAUUCGUCCUUAGAAUAAAAUAAAAGUCUCAAGCUGCAAACUUGGGUUUCAUUUGUCUCCUCCACAUAAGACGGAUCUAGCAACGCAGUCUGGGCUCCGUGCCAAAGGCUGGUAUUUCACAGCAGCGACCGCCUUACAGAUGAGCUGUGGGAAGCAGGAGGGAGACUCUCUUAGGGUGCCACUACUAUGGAGACACAGCUGGGCUGAACAAGAUUUGCUUCAAACGACAACAAGAGAGACAGAAAGUGUCUGGUUCGACCGCUGCCCAAGCAGGCAGUAACCAGAAGAGCUAGCAGCCAAUCCGGCCAUGCUGCACUGUUCGAAACCAGCUCUACAUCCCAGCCAAUCAGUGACAUCACUGAAGAUUCUUGAUUAUGGGGAACGCAGGGCCUUCCCAAGGCACUGGCCGCUAGAGGAUGCUCCUGGUCAGGCGUUGGAAAGCAGCGUGCCCGGGGCCGGGAAUCCUCCUCCCCGACACAGACCUCAGCCCAGCCCCCCGAAGAUGAGAUCGCCCAGCAGGAGUUACCCGCAUAGCCUGCGAUAUAUAAAAUGCUACUCUGUGCUGGGAAGAGUCGGGGUGUUUUCCAUCGUCUAAAUGGAAAAGAAAUUCCAUUCAGUUCACAGGCAAAACCACAAAAUACUAAUGACAGUAAGAGAAAGACACUGUAGGAAUUGGAAUGG
Long non-coding RNA from Pezoporus flaviventris, 2291 nucleotides. RefSeq lists it as uncharacterized. The record is from RefSeq and is a predicted model, not a curated record. NCBI's taxonomy places the organism in Eukaryota, Metazoa, Chordata, Aves, Psittaciformes, Psittacidae. The transcript has 3 exons.